This 603-nucleotide ribosomal RNA is filed under the name uncultured fungus. Its description in RNAcentral is "eukaryotic LSU rRNA". The stretch from base 184 to 337 matches the Rfam family "5.8S ribosomal RNA". The record is from RNAcentral. Lineage: Eukaryota; Fungi.
CGCCGAGUGCUGUCGCUGGCUCUCAAGGAGUCGUGCACGCCCGGAGCGUGUCCUCUCACAUAACACAAUCCAUCUCACCCUUUGUGCACCACCGCGUGGGCACCCUCCUCGGAGGGGGCUCGCGUUUUCACACAACCCCCCCCUUUAAAAAGCGUAGAAUGCGUUUGUUAUUGAAAUCAAUACAACUUUCAACAACGGAUCUCUUGGCUCUCGCAUCGAUGAAGAACGCAGCGAAAUGCGAUACGUAAUGUGAAUUGCAGAAUUCAGUGAAUCAUCGAAUCUUUGAACGCACCUUGCGCCCCUUGGUAUUCCGAGGGGCACGCCCGUUUGAGUGUCGUGAAAAUCUCAACCUCCUUGGUUUCUUCUGGAGACCGAAGGAGGCUUGGACUUUGGAGGUGUUUGCUGGACUUUCGAAAGGCCAGCUCCUCUUAAAUGAAUUAGCGGGGUCCUCUUUGCCGGUCCUUGACAUGUGAUAAGAUGCUUCCGUGUCUCGGUUUCUGGCUCUGUUGCUUUUGGGACCCGCUCCUAACCGUCUAGACCUAGGUUGAGACAACGUUCGAGGAAACCUCCUCGACCUCACGAACCCUUGACCUCAAAUCGGGU